UAGGGAAUCUUCGGCAAUGGGGGCAACCCUGACCGAGCAACGCCGCGUGAGUGAAGAAGGUUUUCGGAUCGUAAAGCUCUGUUGUAAGUCAAGAACGGGUGUGAGAGCGGAAAGUUCACACUGUGACGGUAGCUUACCAGAAAGGGACGGCUAACUACGUGCCAGCAGCCGCGGUAAUACGUAGGUCCCGAGCGUUGUCCGGAUUUAUUGGGCGUAAAGCGAGCGCAGGCGGUUUGAUAAGUCUGAAGUUAAAGGCUGUGGCUCAACCAUAGUUCGCUUUGGAAACUGUCAAACUUGAGUGCAGAAGGGGAGAGUGGAAUUCCAUGUGUAGCGGUGAAAUGCGUAGAUAUAUGGAGGAACACCGGUGGCGAAAGCGGCUCUCUGGUCUGUAACUGACGCUGAGGCUCGAAAGCGUGGGGAGCGAACAGG
This 429-nucleotide ribosomal RNA is filed under the name bacterium. RNAcentral's name for it is "partial 16S ribosomal RNA". It matches the Rfam family "Bacterial small subunit ribosomal RNA", at positions 355 to 776 of the family's 1533-position model. The record is from RNAcentral.